CUGUGUUGUUGGAUGAUUGAAAGUAUGAAGUGGUGGAGAGAAGUUGCUGGAGGAACUGGGAAAGUUGGAUAAAGGAAGUUACAACCAACAGGUAGCUGGGCCUGGGGUUUUGGGCUGACCCCAGUUGGACAGUGACCAGUGAGACAGCAUUUGGAAUGGGGAGAAGCUGGCCCUGGGUUGAUGGGGCCCUGGGUUGAUACCAACCUUCACUGGAUACAAAUAAAAGGUUCCCAAUCAAGAGGACGGAAGAUCGACAGGUGUUCUUUAAACUCGGCCAACCAAACGGAUGAUAACCAAGCUACUAAAUCCAGGAAGUGAGGACCGAGCCUGGGAGGUCUCUGCUUAGACUGGUUGGGUGUCUGAAUCACGAUUACAUUAACUAAGCUCAGAGCAUUCUUCACUAAUCCACAGGAGCACAAUGACCAAAACGCUCACUGUUGGUCUCCAGUCUAGAUCAACAACUUAACAUGGCCAUAAUUCAAUCCAUUGAGUUCCUGCUUAUGUGACCCUGCAUUCAUGUGGAUAUCCUUUAAUAGAUGAACAACUGUGAAGUAUUUAUUGAUUUGGCUAUAUAAUUUUUAAAAGCUAGAGAGGCAGAACAUCUACACAAUUUCAAUUUGGACAGUCAUUCUAGCAGGAUCGAGAUUCUGAGAUAUUAUAUAUAUAAAAAAGAAAUAGGUGAUUACAGUAUUAUGCUGUGCUAUAUGAUGUCUCUUUUUUACAUUAUGUGGGGUGAGUAGUCAGGAAAUUGACUUGAAUUGAUGCCUUGUAGUGGAAUAACCAGCCAGCCAGGGACAUUUUUUUUAUAUUAUAUGGGCAAUGAUUAUAUAUUUCAUAAAGGGCAGGAGUUGGAUCGGUUACCUUUUCCCAUAAGAAGCGUUAACCACUAUUCAAAAUCAAUUUUUCAAUAUCUAGCUUUAAUCUCUGCAAUGACAACUGGCAAUAGCAUUUAAUGCCAGUCCCCGAUACUGCAAUAGUAGUGGAUUUUAAAGAAAAUUCCAGUUUUUUGAUAGUUUCUUAGUUCAGACAGAUAUUAGAAUGUUUGAAUUAAAUGUAGGCUUUUUAACUUCCACUUGCCGACUCAUUUUUAUUGCAUGCAUGCUCUGGAACCAGGUAACACCACCAAACCGCAGCCAUAACAAAUUCAGAAACUAGGCAGGCAUGCAAAGAGAAGGAGAUUACUCUGACAUGUGUGUGAUAAUGGGGUGAGUUAUAAGGUCUGCUGUAUAAAUCCUCCUUAGGGACGCCCACUGCACUCCAAGGUGGUAGCCUCUUUUAGUUGUUUGCCCGUUGUACCAAAAAGUGGAAAUGUGGUGGAUUAGAAAAUUAGAAAAGGAUGAGAGCUGGUAGCAAUGAAUAACUUUCAGAAAUAUUUAGAUGAAUUCUUCCUAAGCCAAAUGGUAUUUUAUUCACAGACUCUAAAGAGAAAGUUACAUUUCAGAACCCUCUUUGAAAAUCAACUUAUCAAAUCUUCUUUUCAAAUAAUCCUAUCCUGUGCAAACUUCAACAUUUGGCAGGCAUACAUUUGAAAAGCAAUUCUGAUAUUGUGCUUUAGUGUUCUGCAUAUCCAUAUGCUGCAGUUUAGCUUCUCUGGGGAUGAUCUGCAAAUUGAUUUCUGUAAACUUAGAUGAUUAAACAUUUAAUAUUGAAAGUACUGAGAAAUUCAAUUCAAAGACAUCAAAAACUUUGGAUGAACAAUUCCAUACUUCAGAUUUAAAAGGGACAAAAAAGGAUACAUGAAAAACAUAAGGAGGAUGAUGAACAAGAGGAUGCUAUUGGAACCAUCAAUGUUCGUCCAAAUUCCUAGUAGCUAAUUGAUCACUGAACUUAGUUUUGUUAGUCAAUAACUGACAAUAUAGCUUGGUAACCAGUAACAUAUACUCACAACUCUCUGUGUAAAAAGUAUCUCCUACC
Long non-coding RNA from Acipenser ruthenus (sterlet), 1914 nucleotides. RefSeq lists it as uncharacterized. The record is from RefSeq and is a predicted model, not a curated record. The transcript is spliced from 3 exons. NCBI's taxonomy places the organism in Eukaryota, Metazoa, Chordata, Actinopteri, Acipenseriformes, Acipenseridae.